CCAGACUCCUACGGGAGGCAGCAGUGAGGAAUAUUGGUCAAUGGGCUUACGCCUGAACCAGCCAAGUCGCGUGAGGGAAGACUGCCCUAUGGGUUGUAAACCUCUUUUGUCAGGGAGCAACGCCGGCUACGUGUAGCCGGACUGAGAGUACCUGAAGAAAAAGCAUCGGCUAACUCCGUGCCAGCAGCCGCGGUAAUACGGAGGAUGCGAGCGUUAUCCGGAUUUAUUGGGUUUAAAGGGUGCGUAGGCGGGCUGUUAAGCCGGGGGUCAAAUGGCGGGGCUCAACCCCGGCCUGCCGUUGAAACUGGCAGUCUAGAGUUGGAGAGAAGUAUGCGGAAUGCGCGGUGUAGCGGUGAAAUGCAUAGAUAUCGCGCAGAACUCCGAUUGCGAAGGCAGCAUGCCGGCUCCACACUGACGCUGAGGCACGAAAGCGUGGGUAUCGAACAGGAUUAGAUACCCCAGUA
Molecule: ribosomal RNA, 464 nt
Filed under: uncultured bacterium
Lineage: Bacteria
Description: bacterial SSU rRNA
Rfam family: Bacterial small subunit ribosomal RNA
Source: RNAcentral